This 173-nucleotide ribosomal RNA is filed under the name uncultured bacterium. Its description in RNAcentral is "partial 16S ribosomal RNA". It matches the Rfam family "Bacterial small subunit ribosomal RNA", at positions 118 to 291 of the family's 1533-position model. The record is from RNAcentral.
UGGGCAACCUGCCCCUCUCUCUGGGAUAACCCCGGGAAACCGGAGCUAAUACCGGAUACUCCGGCUGGAUCGCAUGUCCGGCCGGGAAAGGUCCGCCGGAGAGGGAUGGGCCCGCGGCCUAUCAGCUAGUUGGUGGGGUAAUGGCUCACCAAGGUCGACGACGGGUAGCUGGU